This 301-nucleotide ribosomal RNA is filed under the name uncultured bacterium. RNAcentral describes it as "partial 16S ribosomal RNA". It matches the Rfam family "Bacterial small subunit ribosomal RNA", at positions 509 to 807 of the family's 1533-position model. The record is from RNAcentral.
CAGUAGCCGCGGUAAUACGUAGGGUGCGAGCGUUAAUCGGAAUUACUGGGCGUAAAGCGUGCGCAGGCGGUUUCGUAAGACCGAUGUGAAAUCCCCGGGCUCAACCUGGGAACUGCAUUGGUGACUGCGAAACUGGAGUGCGGCAGAGGGAGAUGGAAUUCCGCGUGUAGCAGUGAAAUGCGUAGAUAUGCGGAGGAACACCGAUGGCGAAGGCAGUCUCCUGGGCCUGCACUGACGCUCAUGCACGAAAGCGUGGGGAGCAAACAGGAUUAGAGACCCCUGUAGUCCCUGUCUCUUAUAC